RNAcentral lists this ribosomal RNA (920 nucleotides) under uncultured Actinomyces sp. RNAcentral describes it as "bacterial SSU rRNA". The stretch from base 1 to 822 matches the Rfam family "Bacterial small subunit ribosomal RNA". The record is from RNAcentral. Lineage: Bacteria; Bacillati; Actinomycetota; Actinomycetes; Actinomycetales; Actinomycetaceae.
GACGAACGCUGGCGGCGUGCUUAACACAUGCAAGUCGAACGCUGAAGCUCAGCUUGCUGGGUGGAUGAGUGGCGAACGGGUGAGUAACACGUGAGUAACCUGCCCCCUUCUUUGGGAUAACGCCCGGAAACGGGUGCUAAUACUGGAUAUUCACUGAUCUUCGCAUGGGGGUUGGUGGAAAGGUUUGUUCUGGUGGGGGAUGGGCUCGCGGCCUAUCAGCUUGUUGGUGGGGUGAUGGCCUACCAAGGCUUUGACGGGUAGCCGGCCUGAGAGGGUGACCGGUCACAUUGGGACUGAGAUACGGCCCAGACUCCUACGGGAGGCAGCAGUGGGGAAUAUUGCACAAUGGGCGCAAGCCUGAUGCAGCGACGCCGCGUGAGGGAUGGAGGCCUUCGGGUUGUAAACCUCUUUCGCUCAUGGUCAAGCCGCAACAGUGGUUGUGGUGAGGGUAGUGGGUAAAGAAGCGCCGGCUAACUACGUGCCAGCAGCCGCGGUAAUACGUAGGGCGCGAGCGUUGUCCGGAAUUAUUGGGCGUAAAGGGCUUGUAGGCGGUUGGUCGCGUCUGCCGUGAAAUCCUCUGGCUUAACUGGGGGCGUGCGGUGGGUACGGGCUGACUUGAGUGCGGUAGGGGAGACUGGAACUCCUGGUGUAGCGGUGGAAUGCGCAGAUAUCAGGAAGAACACCCGUGGGCGAAGGCGGGUCUCUUGGGCCGUUCCUGACGCUGAGGAGCGAAAGCCUGGGGAGGCGAACAGGAUUAAGUACCCCUGGUGGUCCAAGGGCGAAUUCCACAGGGGAAUAUCAGGCUUAUCGAUCCUCUCCACCUGGAGGGGGGGGGCGGGUGCCGGCUUUUGUUCUCUUUCGCUACGGUUAUUGGCCCUGUUUUUUUCUGGUCUAACCGUUUCCAAGUUGGCGUGUGCAGA